GAUGAAGAACGUAGUGAAAUGCGAUAAGUAAUGUGAAUUGCAGAAUUCAGUGAAUCAUCGAAUCUUUGAACGCACCUUGCACUCCUUGGUAUUCCGAGGAGUACGCCUGUUCGAGUGUUAUGAAGCUCUCAAAACGCAAUUGGCUUAAAACCUGAUUGUUGUUUUGGAUUUGAACUUUGCCGUGUUAUAACGGCUGGUUUUAAAAGUAUUAGCUGGUACUAGAACGAAUUGGUUCUACUCAACGUGAUGAUUAUCUGAUCGUUGAGGACAUUCCUUUCACGAGGAAUGGCCAUAGUAAAUUCAAUGGACUGCUUCUAAUCUGGCUUUAAUUCUUUAUUGGAUUAACCACUUUUCAAAUCUGACCUCGAAUCAGGUGGGACUACCCGCUGAACUUAAGCAUAUCAAUAAGCGGAGGA
This 416-nucleotide unclassified non-coding RNA is filed under the name soil metagenome. RNAcentral's name for it is "partial contains 5.8S ribosomal RNA, internal transcribed spacer 2, and large subunit ribosomal RNA". The stretch from base 1 to 120 matches the Rfam family "5.8S ribosomal RNA", at positions 35 to 154 of the family's 154-position model. The record is from RNAcentral.